Molecule: long non-coding RNA, 1810 nt
Organism: Octopus bimaculoides (California two-spot octopus)
Lineage: Eukaryota; Metazoa; Mollusca; Cephalopoda; Octopoda; Octopodidae
Source: RefSeq, a predicted model, not a curated record
UUCUCAAAAAUUAAGACAAAUGAAGAUGGAGUGCCAAACAGAAAAGAAAAAACGAACGAUUUUAUCCAACGAUCCGAUAUUAUUGAUUUCAAACUUUGACAGAAGGCCAGCAGGUUUGGGUGAGGGGCUAAGUCGAUUACAUGGACCCUAGUGUUCAAUUAGCACUUAUUUUAUUGACUCUGAAAGGAUGAAAGGCAAAGUUGAUCUCGGCGAAAUUUGAACCCAGAACCUAAAGACGGAUGAAAUGCCGCUAUGCAUUUUGCCUGGUGUGCUAACGAUUCUCCUAGCUCGCUGUCUUACAAUCAGAUAUUAUUGUCACUGAAAAUCUAUCUUGCGAAAUUUUUCACACCAAAUCAUGUGAUAGGUCAAAACAUCACAUGGCCUUCUCGUCUUCCCCACCCCAGACUAAAACUGUCCCUCAUCCUCCUCUGUUUCGUGAGUGAACUCCCCUACUCUAUCACUGAAUUUUGGGAGUUUUUACUUGGAUUAAGAAAUUUUACUCACACACACACACACACACACACACACACACACACACACACACACACACACACACACACACACACACACACACACACACACACACACAGACAGACAGACAGAUAGAUAGAUAGAUAGAUAGAUAGAUAGAUAGAUAGAUAGAUAGAUAGAUAGAUAUGAAGAGUUAAAUCGAUAAAUAAGAUAGAUUAUAAAUUGUACAUAUGCUUACUCAUAUAAGUCUCAAAGAAUUCAAAUUUAUAAAAUCGCUUUUGCUAAUGGUCGAAAAUACCUUCUAUUUUUUUAACAAUCGCAAAACAUGUGUCACCAUGGCAACAACGCUGUAUUCCAACGGUAACGGAAUGCUCAAACGAAUGAAAUGAUUGUUUGAAUUCCAUUCCUUCACUUAAACUUGUCUAAGUCACACUGUUUGGUGAAUAGACAAAAGUAAUUUAUUUAGAAAAGCUAGUUGAAAGCCUAGAUUUGUUUUAGCCCUACAGUUUUAUCCAUUGUAUAAUCUUUUCGUUAUGAAAAACUCCAGGACAUGUAAACAAACAGAGGGUUCAUUAUAAUCAUUUUCGUCUGAUGUUACUUCCAUGCUGACAAUUUCUCAAUUGUCUGUGAUUUAAGAAUCCGUGUUUAGAAUUCCAGCUAAAAUUUCGGCCAACUUAAUAGGAAUAAAUAUAUCAUUUUUAGAGCCUUUCUGAAAAUAAUCCUGGGCUUAUCACAAGAAAAUACCAGAAAAGUCGCACAAUAUAUUUAAGUUAUUCUACCGGAAGUCUAAUUUAUAUUCUAAGCCACAAGCUUUCAACUUGAUUGAGUACCAUCCACAGGCAUACGUAUAUCAGUACUCAUAUAUUUGAGGCAUAUCUCCUGAUAUACUGGUAUAGAAGAAGAUAAAGAACCAAAGAGGGAAAAUAUCAAAAUGUUUUACGAAUUAUUAAUGGUCGUGACAAUAGCAUGCUGCUUUACAUUUUUAAUAUAUUUUUGUGAUAUUUAUCCACAGCCGCCGCAACUAUUCAGAUUUCCAUUUUGACCUGACCAAGACCGCAAACUACAAAUGACGACGAUGGUUUCUCUCAGAUAUUUGACUUGAAUUUACUAUGCAAGAAAAGAACACAGUUUCUCAUACAGCUGGAAUUUAUACAAGCUUGUAGCAUAUACCCAAAUAUCUUUGGAGCAGUACUGAAUACCAACAUUGAGCAUACAAUGGAAAAUGAAAUGAAUGUAGCCGCUUCAAAAAGGAAUCAACUCAAUCAUGUAAAUUACAUCCAACACUUAACUGUUACAUAUUGAAUGUUGUAAAAAAAAAUAAUAAAAACAUAACCUAAAA